CAGCCGCCGCGGGAAUACGAAGGGUGCAAGCGUUAAUCGGAAUUACUGGGCGUAAAGCGUGCGUAGGCGGUUUGUUAAGUCUGCUGUGAAAUCCCCGGGCUCAACCUGGGAAUGGCAGUGGAUACUGGCAAGCUAGAGUGUGUCAGAGGAUGGUGGAAUUCCCGGUGUAGCGGUGAAAUGCGUAGAGAUCGGGAGGAACAUCAGUGGCGAAGGCGGCCAUCUGGGACAACACUGACGCUGAGGCACGAAAGCGUGGGGAGCAAACAGGAUUAGAUACCCGUGUAGUCCCUGUCUAUUAUAC
Molecule: ribosomal RNA, 301 nt
Filed under: uncultured bacterium
Lineage: Bacteria
Description: partial 16S ribosomal RNA
Rfam family: Bacterial small subunit ribosomal RNA
Source: RNAcentral